Molecule: ribosomal RNA, 485 nt
Filed under: uncultured bacterium
Lineage: Bacteria
Description: partial 16S ribosomal RNA
Rfam family: Bacterial small subunit ribosomal RNA
Source: RNAcentral
AGUGAACGCUGGCGGCGUGCUUAACACAUGCAAGUCGAACGGGAACGGGAUAUAGCUUGCUAUAUUUGUCAGCUAAGUGGCGCACGGGUGAGUAAUGUAUAGAUAACCUGCCCUCUAGAAAGGAAUAACAGUUGGAAACGACUGCUAAUGCCCUAUAUGCCUUUAAUACAUAAGUAUGCAAGGGAAACGCUUUAGUGCUAGAGGAUGGGUCUGUAUGGUAUCAGCUUGUUGGUGAGGUAAUGGCUCACCAAGGCUAUGACGCCUAACUGGUUUGAGAGGAUGAUCAGUCACACUGGAACUGAGACACGGUCCAGACUCCUACGGGAGGCAGCAGUGGGGAAUGUUGCACAAUGGACGAAAGUCUGAUGCAGCAACGCCGCGUGGAGGAUGACACAUUUCGGUGCGUAAACUCCUUUUAUAUAGGAAGAUAAUGACGGUACUAUAUGAAUAAGCACCGGCUAACUCCGUGCCAGCAGCCGCAGUAA